AAAAUGGCAAUGACCGGGUAGUAGGCGAGUCCGAAACGCGCAGAGAGGGAGCGGCUGGUGUAAGCUCUCGGGGAGGACUCAGGACCGAAGCUCGCCCGCGAGCUAUCUCGCUGAACGGCUUUUUGGCUGAGUAGGCGGGGUCGGAUGCCCACCGUUAUCGGGGUUUUGAGUGCGCGUCGCACACAGCAGCGGCGCGAAGUUAGGUGGUACCACGGAGUUUAGCGGCUUCGUCCUAUCG
Molecule: non-coding RNA, 238 nt
Filed under: Oscillospiraceae bacterium
Lineage: Bacteria; Bacillati; Bacillota; Clostridia; Eubacteriales; Oscillospiraceae
Description: Ruminococcaceae bacterium T-box sequence
Rfam family: T-box leader
About the family: Uncharged tRNA acts as the effector for transcription antitermination of genes in the T-box leader family. T-boxes are found upstream of many aminoacyl-tRNA synthetase genes and some amino acid biosynthetic genes usually in Gram-positive bacteria.
Source: RNAcentral